GCACCGGUAGCUCAGUUGGAUAGAGCGGCGGUCUUCGAAACCGCAGGUCAGAGGUUCGAGUCCUCUCCGGUGUA
RNAcentral lists this transfer RNA (74 nucleotides) under Phycisphaeraceae bacterium. RNAcentral's name for it is "tRNA-Arg". It matches the Rfam family "tRNA". Rfam says of the family: Transfer RNA (tRNA) molecules are approximately 80 nucleotides in length. Their secondary structure includes four short double-helical elements and three loops (D, anti-codon, and T loops). Lineage: Bacteria; Pseudomonadati; Planctomycetota; Phycisphaerae; Phycisphaerales; Phycisphaeraceae. The record is from RNAcentral. RNAcentral also lists the same sequence under 1 other name.